GUGGGGAAUCUUCCGCAAUGGACGAAAGUCUGACGGAGCAACGCCGCGUGAGUGAAGAAGGUUUUCGGAUCGUAAAGCUCUUUCGUUAGGGACGAACGUGCUCUUUGUGAAUAAUGAGGAGUAAUGACGGUACCUAAAUAAGAAGCCACGGCUAACUACGUGCCAGCAGUCGCGGUAAUACGUAGGUGGCAAGCGUUGUCCGGAAUUAUUGGGCGUAAAGCGCGCGCAGGCGGGAUAUCAAGUCUGUCUUAAAAGUGCGAGGCUCAACCUCGUGAGGGGACAGAAACUGGUAUUCUUGAGUGUCGGAGAGGAAAGUGGAAUUCCAAGUGUAGCGGUGAAAUGCGUAGAGAUUUGGAAGAACACCAGUGGCGAAGGCGACUUUCUGGACGAUGUCUGACGCUGAGGCGCGAAAGCUAGGGGAGCGAACGGGAUUAGAUACCCCAGUAGUCC
RNAcentral lists this ribosomal RNA (450 nucleotides) under uncultured bacterium. Its description in RNAcentral is "partial 16S ribosomal RNA". It matches the Rfam family "Bacterial small subunit ribosomal RNA", at positions 354 to 796 of the family's 1533-position model. The record is from RNAcentral.